Molecule: long non-coding RNA, 1944 nt
Organism: Gambusia affinis (western mosquitofish)
Lineage: Eukaryota; Metazoa; Chordata; Actinopteri; Cyprinodontiformes; Poeciliidae
Exons: 3
Source: RefSeq, a predicted model, not a curated record
UCCACUAAAUCCAUUGUUAGCGCUUUAGCAUUAGCCUCUACUAAAUCCCAUGUUAGCGCUUUAGCAUUAGCCUCCACUAAAUCCAAUGUUAGCGCUUUAGCAUUAGCCUCCACUAAAUCCCAUGUUAGCGCCUUAGUGUUAGCAUAUGUUUAGGAUUGGUGCUUCAGGGAUACCACUGGAGAUGAUGGUGUUUUAAAUUUUCUUCUUCUUUCUUUCUGUAGAACAGAAAUAAAUAGAUUUGAACUCACAACCCUUCACAUAUUGGUUGUUCUCUCAGGUUUUUGCUGAUUUCUUUUCCCUCUUUGCAUGUCUGUUCACAUCUGCAGCAGGUUUUCCACUAAAAUACUUGCUGAUGUUUUCCUGGCUUGAUGUUGCUGUCAGCCUCAGUUACUUAUAAGGAUUCAAAAGUAACCAAAUUUAGAGAUUUUAAAGGAAUGGCUUGUAUUGAGUUGAGGCCUGCUCUGCGGCUCUUUGAACCUUUUGUCAGGCGGUUUUAAUGUUUGUGAGCCCCACAUCGUGUUUCCCUGAACUCCUCCGUCUUUCAUAUGUCUUCCUGUGAGGUUUGCGUUUGUCUUUCUCUGGAUUCGCCGCUCAGCGAGGCUGUUAGCGGAGUCGACAGCCCACUGAUCUGCCAUCAAACCGAGCAGCGCUGCAGCAGCUACUGCAGCAUCUGUGAGACGUUACGACUCGACACGGAGCUGCAGAUAAUCGGAGGCGUUUCAGUCACGUCAUCGAGACGCGGGCCCCGCCGCCGCGAACUCCAGCGCUCGCAGAGCGGCAGAAAUCAGAGCCAGAUGGGCGGCUGAAACCAGAGAGCUGCAGCAUCUCGCCCUCGUGGGACUUGAGCUAAAUUAAACAUGACUGGGUGCCAAGCUGGGGCCGGCGCGCCGCAACGCGGAGAACAUGUAAAAAGGCCAGACGGGUUUCAACGCGGAGACGGUGACGCGCCCGGACACUCGGCGCUGGAGCUGCAGCGGCGAGCGCCGUGGAAACGGGAUCGCUUUGCAUAAUGGCAGCGGCGCUCGGCGGGAAGACGCAGAGGCAGAGUGGAAGGUCAGCGGCUGCAGAGGAAAAAGAGAAAUGACAAAACACUCCUCUAUCACCGACGGUAGAGCCGAUGCAGCCUGGAGAAGCCCAGGGUUUGGUGAGCAGGUCACUGCUAACAAUCUCCAGCCUCACAAAACUGGUGAAGAACGUAAAAUAAAACUGAAACGGAGCAGCUCUCCAAUCUGAAAUAAAUAAAUAUCUGGGAACACAAACCUGUGAUUCAUUCAGAACGGGGCUCCACUGCCGUAAGCGUGAAAAAUUGUUAGGAAGAGACAAGUUAGCUUGAUAGGUCAGAGUUUUUUCUUCCACUGUACUUUCAGACAGCCUCUUUAUGCAGAAUGAUGGUGGCUGUACAAUAAGAAAUAUCGAUAUGGAAACAUUUAGCAGUAACAUUCCUCUCUACGGUGGGAUCCAGAUAUCAAAAAUACAGUAACUAGCUCCUACCUUUUACUUGUUUUCUCAAAAUUAACCUUUAUAUCCAACAAACAGGAUGUAGAAGAGAAUGAAGUAACAAUUAAUAUUAUUCUGAGAACCUUAAUUUCACCUGGAAAAUCCCAGAGAUUAAAUGAUCCAGCUUUGAAUUUUACGGUGACAUCUUGAGAAAUGUUCCUCAAAUUGUUCCUGUUUCGUGAGCAGGCCCACAGCAUGAUGCUGCCACCCCCGUACCUCACGCUGAUGUUUCUUCUCUGGUUAUCAAGCGUUUCUUUUUCCUGACCGUUUUAGCUCCAUAUUUUCGGACAUGUCUGUAUUUAUCUGUUGUUUUUACAGCGGUGGGUUUUUUGUCUCUACGUCUGACUAUUUAGAAAACAUUUUCAUGUCUUUUGCUUUUUUCUGGUGUUUGUUGUCACAUUUUGCAGCCAUAUUUGUUAAAAUCAGGGACACAAGACCCGCCCUCUU